RNAcentral lists this ribosomal RNA (497 nucleotides) under uncultured bacterium. RNAcentral's name for it is "partial 16S ribosomal RNA". It matches the Rfam family "Bacterial small subunit ribosomal RNA", at positions 28 to 507 of the family's 1533-position model. The record is from RNAcentral.
GGUGAACGCUGGCGGCGUGCCUAAUACAUGCAAGUCGAGCGAACGGACGAGAAGCUUGCUUCUCUGAUGUUAGCGGCGGACGGGUGAGUAACACGUGGAUAACCUACCUAUAAGACUGGGAUAACUUCGGGAAACCGGAGCUAAUACCGGAUAAUAUUUUGAACCGCAUGGUUCAAAAGUGAAAGACGGUCUUGCUGUCACUUAUAGAUGGAUCCGCGCUGCAUUAGCUAGUUGGUAAGGUAACGGCUUACCAAGGCAACGAUGCAUAGCCGACCUGAGAGGGUGAUCGGCCACACUGGAACUGGGACACGGUCCCGACUCCUACGGGAGGCAGCAGUAGGGAAUCUUCCGCAAUGGGCGAAAGCCUGACGGAGCAACGCCGCGUGAGUGAUGAAGGUCUUCGGAUCGUAAAACUCUGUUAUUAGGGAAGAACAUAUGUGUAAGUAACUGUGCACAUCUUGACGGUACCUAAUCAGAAAGCCACGGCUAACUCCGUG